Molecule: ribosomal RNA, 495 nt
Filed under: uncultured bacterium
Lineage: Bacteria
Description: partial 16S ribosomal RNA
Rfam family: Bacterial small subunit ribosomal RNA
Source: RNAcentral
AUGCACGCUGGCGGCGUGCCUAAUACAUGCCAGUCGAGCGAACAGACGAGGAGCUUGCUCCUCUGACGUAGCGGCGGACGGGUGAGUAACACGUGGAUAACCUACCUAUAAGACUGGGAUAACUUCGGGAAACCGGAGCUAAUACCGGAUAAUAUAUUGAACCGCAUGGUUCAAUAGUGAAAGACGGUUUUGCUGUCACUUAUAGAUGGAUCCGCGCCGCAUUAGCUAGUUGGUAAGGUAACGGCUUACCAAGGCAACGAUGCGUAGCCGACCUGAGAGGGUGUUCGGCCACACUGGAACUGAGACACGGUCCAGACUCCUACGGGAGGCAGCAGUAGGGAAUCUUCCGCAAUGGGCGAAAGCCUGACGGAGCAACGCCGCGUGAGUGAUGAAGGUCUUCGGAUCGUAAAACUCUGUUAUUAGGGAAGAACAAAUGUGUAAGUAACUAUGCACGUCUUGACGGUACCUAAUCAGAAAGCCACGGCUAACUACGUG